GAGGAGUUAGCUCAAUUGGUAGAGCGUUAAUCUUACACAUUAAUGGUUAGAAGUUCAAGUCUUCUACUCCUCA
Umbelopsis ramanniana AG is the source of this 73-nucleotide non-coding RNA. The record is from the annotation of a RefSeq genome assembly. Lineage: Eukaryota; Fungi; Mucoromycota; Umbelopsidomycetes; Umbelopsidales; Umbelopsidaceae.